GCUGGGUGUGGUGGCGUGCACCUGUAGUCCCAGCUACUCGGGAGGCUGAGGCGGGAGAAUCGCUUGAACCCGGGAGGUGGAGCUUGCAGUGAGCCGAGAUUGUGCCACUGCACUCCAGCCUGGGCGACAGAGUGAGACUCCGUCUCAA
Molecule: non-coding RNA, 148 nt
Filed under: Homo sapiens (human)
Lineage: Eukaryota; Metazoa; Chordata; Mammalia; Primates; Hominidae
Source: Rfam by way of RNAcentral